CACCUUUGACAUGUACGGAAUUCGCCAGAGAUGGCUUAGUGCUCGAAAGAGAGCCGUAACACAGGUGCUGCAUGGCUGUCGUCAGCUCGUGUCGUGAGAUGUUGGGUUAAGUCCCGCAACGAGCGCAACCCUUGUCAUUAGUUGCUACAUUCAGUUGGGCACUCUAAUGAGACUGCCGGUGACAAACCGGAGGAAGGUGGGGAUGACGUCAAGUCCUCAUGGCCCUUAUAGGG
Molecule: ribosomal RNA, 233 nt
Filed under: uncultured bacterium
Lineage: Bacteria
Description: partial 16S ribosomal RNA
Rfam family: Bacterial small subunit ribosomal RNA
Source: RNAcentral